Molecule: ribosomal RNA, 723 nt
Filed under: uncultured bacterium
Lineage: Bacteria
Description: bacterial SSU rRNA
Rfam family: Bacterial small subunit ribosomal RNA
Source: RNAcentral
AAGUCGCACGAGAACGCUUCAGCUUGCUGAAGUAAGUAAAGUGGCGCACGGGUGAGUAACGCGUGGGUAAUCUACCCUCAAAUUGGGGAUAACCCGCCGAAAGGCGGGCUAAUACCGAAUGACAUCUUGAAGACUUAUGUUUUCAGGAUCAAAGGUGGCCUCUACAUGUAAGCUAUUGUUUGGGGAUGAGCCCGCGUACCAUUAGCUUGUUGGUAGGGUAAUGGCCUACCAAGGCUACGAUGGUCAGCUGGUCUGAGAGGAUGAUCAGCCACACUGGAACUGACACACGGUCCAGACUCCUACGGGAGGCAGCAGUGAGGAAUUUUGCGCAAUGGGGGAAACCCUGACGCAGCAACGCCGCGUGAGUGAUGAAGGCUUUCGGGUCGUAAAGCUCUGUCAAGUGGGAAGAACUCAUAUGGUGUUAAUAUCUCCAUAUGUUGACGGUACCACUGAAGGAAGCACCGGCUAACUCCGUGCCAGCAGCCGCGGUAAUACGGGGGGUGCGAGCGUUAUUCGGAAUUACUGGGCGUAAAGAGCGCGUAGGCGGUCUUUUAAGUCAGGUGUGAAAGCCCCGGGGCUCAACCCCGGAAGUGCACUUGAAACUAAGAGACUUGAGUAUGGGAGAGGGAAGUGGAAUUCCUGGUGUAGCGGUGAAAUGCGUAGAUAUCAGGAGGAACAUCAGUGGCCGAAGGCGACUUCCCUGGACCCAUACUGACGCUGAGG